CAGGAGUAUCUAGAAUUAAGACACUGAGUGGGAAGAGAGAUACAAAUAUGUCCAUAGAAAUAUGGAAGGUUUUAAGCCAGAAAAUCCUUAAAUGAAGGUCUGUAGCAGUAUCUCUCCAGAUAUUUAAAAAUACAAUGAUCACCAAAAUAUGCUAUAAAUGUUUAAAAUGGACUCCUAUCGAAAGUUCAGAGGUUAAAGAUGAUGUUGUUUAUGGUACUCCUAGAAAUUGAUUCUUCUUUAUUUUUUCUUUUCGUUGAGUUUAAUUGCCACUAGAAUUAUUUUCAAGUUAAGAAGAUAAGAGGAUUGACUUUUUAAACUUCAAAAUGAACUUCCCUGCUGUGACUGACUAUAUUCCCCAGUAUGGAGAAUUAUGAGGAACCUGUUGAACAGAAAAGUCUCUGACCAUAAUCAAGGUCACACAGUCAGAAGGCAUCCCAGCAGACACUCCACACUAGCCAAUGUGGAUUCAGAGACUGCACCCUUGAUUACUGUGUUGUUUGAUGAUACUAGUGAUUUCCACGGGGGGCAGAGAUGAUUUUCCUGGCUCUGGGCCUCAUGGUUUCACACUACCUUUGUAAUUUCUCUUGGAGCCUUUCAUUACAGAACUAAAGUUGCCUCUGCUCAGCUGUAUUCUUCUUUGAGGUGAGGAUCUGGGUAGGCCACAGUAGUUGGCAGAAUUUUAAUAUUGUAUAUGUAGUUAGGGUGGACACACAAGACUCCUUCCCUGACUACCUUCCAGCUAGGAUUGGACUGGCCGUGUGACACAAUUCUGACCAAUGAGAUGUAGGUGGAAUUCUGUCAGUUACGUUGCCUCACGUGGAUAUAUAAGAUAAAGCAUCCAGCCAAGUGAGGGAAUAAUGCAUACUGACUACUCAGGAAGUAGCACUGCAGAUGCCACACUCUUGAAUCAGCCCAUAUUUUAACUGUAAGUAGCACACUGAAAAUCAGCAGUAAGAGAAUGAAGAAACUGGAGUCAAGACAGGGUCCAGUAGAGAGAGAGAAAAAAAACCCACUGUUUUGGAUUGUUCUUUCACAUCCUAAGCAAUCAUGAAUGUUACAGAACUAGAAUCUGGACUUCUUUUAGCUACAUGCUCAAGAUUAAAAGCAAAUGACAGGGAGAAUGCAAGAAGGGAUUGCUGGGAAGAAGGCCAGAGGAAAUUGGAGUGAGAAAUUCAAAAUGUAUGCAAGAGUUUGUCUAAGGAGAAUCAAAACUACUAUGUUUAGAAAAGGUUGAAAUUUCAUUAUUUUGCAAGAGUUACAUCAACAACUGCAAAAGCUUCAGGAAUUCCAGCCCUUUGGAUUGAAACUCUUGCCUGGAGCAUUAAGAACUUGGGGGAGAAAUCACUACUCACUGCUUUGCUCGCAAUUCUCAUUUGGACUAGCGCUUGCAGAAACUGAGCUGAACUUUCCGCACUGUUAUUGCAUCUGUAAGGUAAUUGCCUAAACUUGUUGAGCCAAUCGGAAUUGCUGUUGUUGACUUUUGCAAAUGUGAAGAAUCCGAUGAAGCAAUUUGUAAGCCAUAUGUGGUACAUCCCUCUUUCCCCACUCAAAGUCAUAUUGCUCUCUAUAGGAUUUUGUGUGAUCCUUAUGAAACAUCACACUCCAGAAUUCUAUUUUAAAAGCUUCAAACAUUAGUGUUUAAAAAGUCAUUCAUAUUUAUGGGACCAUUUUGUUGCCAAAUUCUUGUAUUAAAAGAGGGUUAAAAU
Molecule: long non-coding RNA, 1706 nt
Filed under: Homo sapiens (human)
Lineage: Eukaryota; Metazoa; Chordata; Mammalia; Primates; Hominidae
Description: novel transcript
Source: RNAcentral